AUUGCUUAUGUGACUAUUAACUAUGGUUCUCUUGUGGGGGCUGUGGGAGUCCGUUAGGCAGGGGCCAGAGUUCCAGGAGCAUGAGGGUACGCCUACUGUGUAAUGAAGGUGAAUUAUGACCAUCGGGGUUCACACCUCAGCUCGACUGGAGACUGGAGACCAGCCUGCAAUUCCACACACAAGUGGGUGAAAACAUUUGUUACAAGUAUACCCAUCAUCAAUAUUUUCCUGGCCAAGGGUCAUUUGGCUAUCAGACUAAAUAUACUUUAUGCUUAAGUGAUGCAAUUAUGAAUUCUGUGAAUGCUACACUUUUGAUGGAUCAACAUUUCCUUGAGAGUGGCUUGAAAAGUAUUGGAGUUGUCUAUGAAUAGCCUUUGUGACCUGCACCAUCUGAUUGUAUUUCUGGUGAAGAAAUGUUCAGCUGGAGCACUCUGAUGAAAUCAUCAGCCAUAGUUCUGCAUUAGAAGAAAUCACUUCUCCUCACACAUUUUUAAGUUGGGGAAAAUAAGACUGCUGAGAAGAUAUAAAGUUUAUGAUUUGGUUUUUACUAAGGCUUUUGGCCACAGACAAUGGCUUUAUGUUGACAUUUUCUAUUGGAAAGAAUCAAAUCUGAAGAGACGUAUAAAAGGUGACUGAGGGGGAGGGAUGUGUUCCCAAUCUCGUAUAGUUUCAGUAUUCACUUUAAAGCAAUGUAGUCCUUUUCUGUUUCUGCCCCAACAUUUCAUAAUUAUAUCAUUUUGCAAGAAUUGUGUAAUUUACAUAACCACCUAAAUUGUCAUAAUUGCUAGAAAGUGCUGAAAAAGCAUACGGUAGGCAUUUCGGAUUCAUUUCUGCUCUCUGUUUUAAACUAAUUUGAAAUGCCUUUUGCAUAAAAAUUCUUUUGGUCAACAAAAAAGUAACUUGGGUUUGAUUUUGCUGGAACCCCGUUUUCUUUUCCUUAGGCUGACUUUUCCUCCUCCAGAAAUCCUUCCCACUUUCCAUCUACUGAGUACCUAGACAGAGGGGCUCUGGGGUAAACAAGCCCUGGACUUCUUGAUCUUACACAAGAAAUUGAGACUACAGUGUUAACUCAUCUGAGUUACAGAGCUUAUCUUUGAGAGGAGGCCUAAAAGUCAGAAAAACAAAACAAAACAACAAAACCUUGUGUCUGAUUCUAUCCUACCACAGUGUUAUUCACUAUAUUUAAAAUGAGGAAAAGGAAAAAUCCAAGAAUGAACGGUUUCAACAGUUUUCUCAGCAUGCCAUUUCCAUCAUAAUUAUCUUAACCAUCUGUUUUGCUUGGAACAGGAAAAAGAAUUUGAUAUUAAGAAACUAAACUGUCAUUCUGUACAACAGAGUAGGACUUGGUUAAUGGAACCACAUUGCAAGAGAUUAAACUGGAUAUCAAUUGUAUCAAAUUUUAUCCAUGAGGCAGAAUGCCAAUACUUGAUCAUUACUUCUCUGAGAAGCAGCAGCUCAUAUACCUUUAUAAUACAGUAGGUUAGAACACCCUACGGUACAUAUCAUUUGCUGAAAGUGUAAUCAGGAAACACAUGAUGCAAAAUACCAGACAGGUAAGUGUGAUUGAAAAUGGAGACUAAUUCUCUUCAUCUCUAUCUGCUUUAGCUUCUCUAAAAAGUCAGUCUAUCUUUGUAUUUUUAGGCUGUGUAUUAAUGUUUAGCCUCCUGAAGAUAAUUUGGCUAUUAUGUGAGUCUAUAAAAAUUUGUGGCAGCAUAAGAGAUAUGCAUAAAUAGUAAACCACACUUCUGGAGUGCUUUCUUACCACCUACAUAUGUAAUUUAUAUGAAUAUUCUGCAUAGUGCACACACAUGCACAUACAAUACACACAUGCACACACACAUGAAUGCACAUACACAAACACAUGCACAAACACUAACAUGCAUACACAUGAACACACAAACACCUACACACAGCUACAUACACACACACAUGCAUACACAAAUACACACUACACACAUGCACACCUACACAUACAUAAACACACACUAAAAUUUCAGGGUAUUCUACUUGAAAUUAAAGUUUCAAAACAAUAACAAAUAAGCUGUUUUAUUUGUGUGUUGUUUUUAUCAAAUAUUAAUGAAUAAUAUUUAAUUUAAUUCAAAAUUUAAACAUAGCAUAAAAUGCUAUGUCUACCAUUCCAUUAGAAUGUUCAAAUAAGAACUUUUACUUAAAGGGAUCCUUAAUAUUGAAAACCAUUAAUUAAAUGAAAUAAAAUUCUUGUGAUCUAAGCAGCAACCCCAAGGUCCUCUAACAGUGACGGCCUUCUGCAACAGGCAGCAAAGAGAUAAGUUUUUAUAGGAGAAUAAAGAAAUUGGUCAGUUAAGGAAGAAAAAGUCUUAACAAUCUGUUAUUCUUCUGAAAUUGUGGAAACAAUAGCGCAGUUAAGGUCAACUAGUGAACUUUUUUAUAUUAAUGUCCUGCAGGACAAAGUAUUUGACACAAUGCCACUAGGAGAAAAUGAAAAUAAAUGAAACAGCAAAUAUCUUGUUACACGGCUUUGUUCUCAAUGAGAACAAAGUUUUCAUACAACUGAUGAUGGAACAUAAUACUAUAAUUUUAAUCUAGGACCUUAGAAAUCGUGAGAUAUUCUUAUUUGUAAGAAAUAGAAUAAUAAUUCAAUUAUUUUCUAAUAAUUCAAGGCAAUUACCUGUUUGCCAACUAUGAACUGCAUAGCAGGAAAGAAUAAUUCAUUAUGAAUUUCUCUUUUCUGACAUAGUCAUAAAAACAAAAUAGCCAAUGAUAUGACAUGCGGGUUAGAUUAAUUCUUAUUUCAGUAAUAUUAGCAAUUAAUUAAACCACAAAACGCAACUGCAAAAGAAUAAAAGACCUCAACAUGUAAACAACCAAGCUACAAGCCCUUUAUUCUACACCUGCUUGAAAAAUGUGCUAGAAAAAAAAAAUAGAUAGAAAGUUUGUGGAGGUAACCAACCGAUAUCUGAUGUUUCUAAGGCCCACUUCAUGAGGCACAAACCAUACCCAGUUCUACCAGGAGCCUGAGACUAGAUGGGCAGCUCCAUAAACCUAAAGGGAAGCCAAACGCUAUUGUUCUUUAAUGGGAAUGUACUAAUAAAAUGAGUGAUUCUGAUAUGCUCACAGAUCAUCUCUGGGCUCAGCUAUCCUCAGAGAAGCUUCCUCCUUCCGCAGAGGGAAAUUAAACACAGACACACACUCAAUCAGUGUACAGAGAAACUUAGACCCUGAAAGGUUUGCUAAGUCCUAAAUGAGCUGUCCCCUUAAAUCCCUCCUCCGGGGGCUUUGGAAACAAUGAAGAGGAGUAAAAAAAACAUAAGACACAGAGGGACUCCAAAGAAAUUAUCUUUUUCUUAUGUUUCCUUCUCAUAUGUGUUUGGCUUUUAAAUCUUACUUUAUUUUAUUUGUUAUUAUCCUUAGAUACUAAUGAUUUUUGUUGUUGCUGCUGUUUUUGUUUUUUGAUGUUGUUGCUGGUUUUUUGUUGUUGUUUUAGGAGAGACAGGCUGGGGAUUUGAAUGGUAGAGGAGGUGGGAAGAUCUUGGAGUAGUUAAGAGAGGGGAAACUACACUAUAUUGAAUGAAAAAAUCUUUUUACAGUAAAAGUAGAAAAAAUAGGAAUAAGUGUAUAUAUUUUCACAUAUAUCCACCCCAUCCCCCAUAUUCACAUAUAGACAUACAAAUAUGACAACCAGCAGUUAAACAUUAAGGAUUUUUAAAUUUUCAGUCAAUUUUCAAUUUAUUUGCUUCCUUAAGUCAUAAUAUAUGGACUUCUCAUUUUCUUAAUUUCUUUACAGGUGGGAAACCAAUAAAUCAGUGAUGCAUACUAACCC
RNAcentral lists this long non-coding RNA (3799 nucleotides) under Mus musculus (house mouse). RNAcentral describes it as "RIKEN cDNA 4930428E07 gene". Lineage: Eukaryota; Metazoa; Chordata; Mammalia; Rodentia; Muridae. The record is from RNAcentral.